Long non-coding RNA from Platichthys flesus (European flounder), 752 nucleotides. RefSeq lists it as uncharacterized. NCBI's taxonomy places the organism in Eukaryota, Metazoa, Chordata, Actinopteri, Pleuronectiformes, Pleuronectidae. The record is from RefSeq and is a predicted model, not a curated record. The transcript is spliced from 2 exons.
GGAGGUCUGUUUUAGAUAGAAAGGGUGGUGUUUUAAAUGAUCCAUGUGGUAUUUUUACCAAAAAAUGUUACAGACAUUUCAUUAAGAUCCCAAGGAACCAUAUCAACUGUGUUGAAAUGGGCAUAAUAUGUCCCCUUUAAAGCUUUCUCAACAGACACAUCAGAAAUUCAGGUGGGGUAAUGACCAAUCCGUAUUUAAAUUUUUCUCAUUUUCAAACAUUGGAAACAAAAUAAUAUGAAAAGCCAGGAAUAGAACAUGGGCACCUGCUUCGUAAUUUCCAAAUGACUCUAGUUUCUGUCCAUCCGAUCUAAAAUGCAACCCCAGAGUUUUCAAACAAAAAUGGGACCAGCAGCAUUUAAAAAUGUCUGAGGGCCUGGUUAACUCUGGAAUAGUGUGGAGGCCAGACAAAAGUGAUUAAUUUUCCAAACUAAAAUGUGUUAGUUUGAGUUGAAUGCCCAGCUUUAUUUGUAAUAAUAAUAAUAAUAAUAAUAAUUUUCACAUAACUUGUCUCUCUCUCCCCUCUCUUUUCGAGCUACCGCUUUUUCUCCCACCCACUAAGGGUCGAGGCAGAUGGUCACCACAACCGGUUGAUGAUGGCCACCCACAUUGAGUCUGAUUAUAGAGCCAUACUCCCCUCCUGGCAAAAUGUGCGUUUCGACAUUUUACAUUUCUCCUUGGACUCCUGAUCUGCUUUUGAAGAAGUGUGUUUCUCUCUAACUGCAUUUUUCUUACCAUUAAAUGUUUUUAAACAA